Molecule: ribosomal RNA, 216 nt
Filed under: Glomeromycotina sp.
Lineage: Eukaryota; Fungi; Glomeromycota
Description: partial small subunit ribosomal RNA
Rfam family: Eukaryotic small subunit ribosomal RNA (bases 40-216)
Source: RNAcentral
GGGUCAGUAGGUUGGUCGUGCCACCGGUACGUACUGGUCUCACUGAUUCCUCCUUCCUGAGGAACCGUAAUGCCAUUAAUUUGGUGUUGCGGGGAAACAGGACUGUUACUUUGAAAAAAUUAGAGUGUUUAAAGCAAGCUAACGCUUGAAUACAUUAGCAUGGAAUGAUGAAAUAGGACGAUCGAUCCUAUUUUGUUGGUUUCUAGGAUUGACGUA